AUUGAACGCUGGCGGCAGGCCUAACACAUGCAAGUCGAGCGGGAACUUCGGUUCUAGCGGCGGACGGGUGAGUAAUGCGUAGGCAGCUACCCGACAGAGGGGGAUACCAGUUGGAAACGACUGUUAAUACCGCAUUAUGUCUACGGACCAAAGUGUGGGACAUUCGGGUCACAUGACGUAGGAUGGGCUUACGUGGGAUUAGCUAGUUGGUGAGGUAAUGGCUCACCAAGGCGACGAUCCCUAGCUGGUUUGAGAGGAUGAUCAGCCACACUGGAACUGAGACACGGUCCAGACUCCUACGGGAGGCAGCAGUGGGGAAUAUUGGACAAUGGGCGAAAGCCUGAUCCAGCCAUGCCGCGUGUGUGAAGAAGGCCUUCGGGUUGUAAAGCACUUUCAGUAGGGAGGAAGAGUUGAGUGUUAAUAGUACUCAGCUUUGACGUUACCUACAGAAGAAGCACCGGCUAACUCUGUGCCAGCCGCCGCAGUAA
RNAcentral lists this ribosomal RNA (488 nucleotides) under uncultured bacterium. RNAcentral describes it as "partial 16S ribosomal RNA". It matches the Rfam family "Bacterial small subunit ribosomal RNA", at positions 30 to 523 of the family's 1533-position model. The record is from RNAcentral.